RNAcentral lists this long non-coding RNA (1237 nucleotides) under Felis catus (domestic cat). Its description in RNAcentral is "lncRNA (ENSFCAG00000049305.1)". Lineage: Eukaryota; Metazoa; Chordata; Mammalia; Carnivora; Felidae. The record is from RNAcentral.
AUGAUUGCCCCAGGGCCACAGUUCCAUCGGAGUCUCGCUGGCUGGGCUGGGCCAGGCUCAACUGAUGCUGUGCUGACAUUGGAUGCUCCCAGCGUGGACCGGGCUUCAAGGCCUGAGGCCCUAGUGGCAGGAAGAAGACUGAAUCACUGCCAAGGAGGCGGGCUGGGAAAGUGGGCUGAGAGGUCUCUGGAAAGAUCCACUGAAAUAAAUGAAUGGGAAAGGAAUAGAUGUUUAAGGAGCUUGUACUCUGCCAAGCUGGGUGCUGUCACAGUUCACUGGGUCAUCAUAGCAACUGUCUGUGCUCUCAGCGGAAACAAUGCCCUGUUGCAAAGUGGUUGCCCCACAAUUUUUUUUUUCUGGAUAAAAGCAAAGUAAAACCAAACGAAAACCCUAAAAACAAAACCAAAAAAUCCAAACCUAAACCCCAAACCAGAAAAACAAAAACAAAAAACAAAAAAACAAAAAAAAAAACUGAAAAACCCAACACUGUUCUUUAGCUGGAUAGUAGUAUUGUCCUUCCUUUUCAAAUCAGGACACAGACCUACUUGAAUAGCAAGAGAGUUCUGUUCGUACUUUGUAAACUGCAAAAAUGCUCUUCAAAUGUUAGCUUCCAUUAUGGUAUCCAUGAAUAAGCCCAUUUCCUUAUAGCCCUCGCUUCUGGAAGUGGCUGGAGCAUUGUAGCAAUUCAAUACCUGUUUGUUGAUUAAAUGACUCGUUGACCAUUGGGCAGGAGGGUCUGAUGGUACCUUAAUGGGAUUGCUAUCUCACAGGAAGAGAGAUGAGAAUUUACACACAUAUAUACAACCCACUGUGUAUGGCGAGUUUCCAAUACUGUGUAAGGAAGUUGAAGUUAGCUAUUUAUUAAAAGAGGCAACGUGAACAUUUUCAGAAUUAUUUUCCCCUUGGAAAUCUUAACUUUGGCUUAGACCCCUUGAAAACUCCAUUAGGGCUCAAAAUGUACCAGUAUUUUUAUUGGGUAACAAUAUAAUCUGAAAGAGUGAAAUAUUUUGUGUUUGACAGAGCAGAUGGCGGUUCUAUUUCAUAUUAAUAGUCGAAUCUAAUGUGGAUAGUAGUUUUUGUUGCCUAUAUGUUUAUUAACGUUUGAGUGCGAUUUGAACUUGAUCGCAUGUUUUAUUGCUUCCUCCAACAGUAACUACUCUUUCAUUUUAAAUACAUUUACGAUAUUACACAUAUAUUUCGAGGCAUAAUAAAAGUAAAUUUAUAUGAAAAAAUUCCA